This 21-nucleotide microRNA is filed under the name Populus trichocarpa (black cottonwood). RNAcentral describes it as "ptc-miR403c-5p". Its record names the gene ptc-miR403c-5p. The record is from miRBase by way of RNAcentral. Lineage: Eukaryota; Viridiplantae; Streptophyta; Magnoliopsida; Malpighiales; Salicaceae. RNAcentral also lists the same sequence under 1 other name.
UUUGUGCGUGGAUCUGAGGCC